Molecule: long non-coding RNA, 1682 nt
Organism: Equus caballus (horse)
Lineage: Eukaryota; Metazoa; Chordata; Mammalia; Perissodactyla; Equidae
Source: Ensembl
CAGCUGGGGGUCGCCCCGCCCUCUGGGCUUCUCUCCGGGCCUCUGCCGGGAGCUCUGAAUGCUCAGCGUGGCCCCUCUGCUACCGGCAGACAGAGAGUUUUGUCUGCUGCCUGGCGGAGCUCCGGCGCUUCCCCUCCGGGUCGCCGGACCCGCCUUUGAAAGUUCCCCCGCCCCGGUCCUCUCCGAGAUCUCCGGCAAUCCCUAGUCCCACGGGGCGGGCAACGGCAGCUGGGGGACGCCCCGCCCUCUGGGCUUCUGUCCGAGCCUCUGCCGGGAGCCCUGAAUGCUGGGCGUGGCCCCUCUGCUACCGGCAGACAGAGAGUUUUGUCUGCUGCCUGGCGGAGCUCCGGCGCUUCCCCUCCGGGUCGCCGGACCCGCCUUUGAAAGUUCCCCCGCCCCGGACCUCUCCGAGAUCUCCGGCAAUCCCUAGUCCCACGGGGCGGGCAACGGCAGCUGGGGGACGCCCCGCCCUCUGGGCUUCUGUCCGAGCCUCUGCCGGGAGCCCUGAAUGCUGGGCGUGGCCCCUCUGCUAAUGGCAGACAGAGAGUUUUGUCUGCUGCCCGGGCGGAGCUCCGGCGCUUCUCCACCGGAUCGCCGGACCCGCCUUUGAAAGUUCCCCCGCCCCGGUCCUCUCCGAGAUCUCCGGCAAUCCCUAGUCCCACGGGGCGGGCAACAGCAGCUGGGGGUCGCCCCGCCCUCUGGGCUUCUCUCCGGGCCUCUGCCGGGAGCCCUGAGUGCUCAGCGUGGCCCCUCUGCUACCGGCAGACAGAGAGUUUUGUCUGCUGCCUGGGGGAGCUCCGGCACUUCCCCUCCGGGUCGCCGAUCCGGCCUUUGAAAGUUCCCCCGCCCCGGUCCUCUCCGAGAUCUCCGGCAAUCCCUAGUCCCACGGGGCGGGCAACGGCAGCUGGGGGUCGCCCGCCCUCUGGGCUUCUGUCCGGGCCUCUGCCGGGAGCCCUGAGUGCUCAGCGUGGCCCCUCUGCUACCGGCAGACAGAGAGUUUUGUCUGCUGCCUGGGGGAGCUCCGGCACUUCCCCUCCGGGUCGCCGAUCCGGCCUUUGAAAGUUCCCCCGCCCCGGUCCUCUCCGAGAUCUCCGGCAAUCCCUAGUCCCACGGGGCGGGCAACGGCAGCUGGGAGACCUCCGUGCCCUCCGUGUCUCUCUCUGGGACCCUCCGGGCGCCCCGAGCACCAGGCCGGGUCUCCCCGCCAAUGGCGGGGAGAGACUCUCCCCGCGGGCUCAGGUGUGCAACUCCAAAGUUUCCCUCUGCGUUUAGGAGUAAUUGCAGGGGGUUUAAGUAGGGUUCUGGUCACCUGUUUCCACCGUCGCUCCUCUGUUGUGUUCUCGCUCCUGCCCUAGAUGUGUGUGGAUCCUCUGGGGGCGUCCGUUGGAAGAAAGCCGCUUGCGGGUACUAGGCUGCCCGUCGGGGUCGGAGAGUUUUCACCUAUUUCCACAUCCUCCCGGAGGAAAGUCCGUCCGCCUUCCGAUGUAUAGUCGCGUGGGUGUCUCAGACGUCCUGAGAUGCUGUCUGGAUAUCCUUUGUCAAGCGAUAAGUGUCCAAAUAAUUGUAGACUCGAAGGGCGAGAGACAAAGAGGACUACUCACGGCGCCAUCUUGGAAUCACCAAUGUGUGUGGAUCCUCUGGGGGCGUCCGUUGGAAGAAAGCCGCUUGCGGGUACUAGGCUG